This 252-nucleotide ribosomal RNA is filed under the name uncultured bacterium. Its description in RNAcentral is "partial 16S ribosomal RNA". It matches the Rfam family "Bacterial small subunit ribosomal RNA", at positions 524 to 776 of the family's 1533-position model. The record is from RNAcentral.
UACGGAGGGGGCUAGCGUUGUUCGGAAUUACUGGGCGUAAAGCGCACGUAGGCGGCUUUGUAAGUUAGAGGUGAAAGCCCAGGGCUCAACCCUGGAAUUGCCUUUAAGACUGCAUCGCUUGAACAUCGGAGAGGUAAGUGGAAUUCCGAGUGUAGAGGUGAAAUUCGUAGAUAUUCGGAAGAACACCAGUGGCGAAGGCGACUUACUGGACGAUUGUUGACGCUGAGGUGCGAAAGCGUGGGAGCAAACAGG